AGGGUACGUGUUAGUGUAUGGGUUAGGAUUAGGGUAUGGGUUAGGAUUAGGGUAUGGGGACGGUUUAGGAUACAGGUUAGGAUAUGACAAUGGUUUAGGU
This is a long non-coding RNA of Orcinus orca (killer whale), 100 nucleotides long. RefSeq lists it as uncharacterized. The record is from RefSeq and is a predicted model, not a curated record. The transcript is spliced from 3 exons. NCBI's taxonomy places the organism in Eukaryota, Metazoa, Chordata, Mammalia, Artiodactyla, Delphinidae.